AGAGUUUGAUUAUGGCUCAGGAUGAACGCUGGCGGCGUGCUUAACACAUGCAAGUCGAACGGAGUUUUUAAACGGAAGUUUUCGGAUGGAAGUUUAGAAACUUAGUGGCGGACGGGUGAGUAACGCGUGGGUAACCUGCCUCAUACAGGGGGAUAACAGUUAGAAAUGACUGCUAACACCGCAUAAUAUAGCGAAACCGCAUGAUUUUGCUAUCAAAUAUUUAUAGGUAUGAGAUGGGCCCGCGUCUGAUUAGCUAGUUGGUGGGGUAAAAGCCUACCAAGGCGACGAUCAGUAGCCGGCUUGAGAGAGUGACCGGCCACAUUGGGACUGAGACACGGCCCAAACUCCUACGGGAGGCAGCAGUGGGGAAUAUUGGACAAUGGGGGAAACCCUGAUCCAGCCGACGCCGCGUGAGUGAAGAAGUAUUUCGGUAUGUAAGGCUCUAUCAGCAGGGAAGAUAAUGACGGUACCUGACUAAGAAGCCCCGGCUAACUACGUGCCAGCAGCCGC
This 510-nucleotide ribosomal RNA is filed under the name uncultured bacterium. RNAcentral describes it as "bacterial SSU rRNA". It matches the Rfam family "Bacterial small subunit ribosomal RNA", at positions 8 to 518 of the family's 1533-position model. The record is from RNAcentral.